UUUGGAUCGUGACAAAUAGUCAAUCAACUAACGGAUUUUCAGGUAUAGAAACACUAAUUACAACCCAUCUUCAAUUUUUGGAAGUUUUUGAUUCGGUACAAUCAAACCCUAGUUUUUAUGGCUAGAUCUACUACUGGCCCGAUUCAUAACUCUCACCGGAAUACUACAUCGGAAACCGAUGGUUCCAACUGCCAAAACCGAUUGUUGUCCAGGGAGUAUAAACUUAAAUAGGAAAUCUUUCCUCAAAGAUUUUGAAAGCUUAGAAUCAUACGAAGUGACAUAUGUUGGAUGAUUAUACAUUCGGGGCUGAGUUGAAGGUGGAUGGAGAAGUCUAUUGAUAUUCUCUUAGAUCAAUGGCUCUUCUGUAUUAUUUCAGAGCAACCCCACUUAUAUAGAGAGAGCAUGGGUGGUUUGUGAAAGAAAUUUUAGUUAUAUAAGGAGCAGAAUUUGUGCUUGUGGAGAUUGUCCGAGUAAACGGAGAUGAAAAAGAAAACUUGAAUUUUGUAAACAAUACAGAGUCUAAAUGUAAUUAGUUGAAUGUAAUAAAAAAAAAUAAAGACCAAAAAGUUACUCUUAUGGUUUCACAUUUCAUUUUAUGCAAUUAAAUACGUCGAACAGUUAUAAGAUAAGAACUGUUUUUUUCAUUUUUGCAGGUAAUGGAAUUGACAGAUAAUAUACAAUUGAUACUGAAUGCUGUUAGGUUCUCUAGUGUUGUAGAAGUGCAAGUAUCCUUUCUAUAUGUGGUUGUGGUCUAUCUAGUCUUUUAGUCUCUACAUUCUGUGGGCAAAGAGGAAGGGUUCACUAUGUGUUAUUUGAGUUUUUGGCGAAGUGCUUGUGUUGCAAAAGAAUGGAACACACUUGUUAAAGACGUUAGAGAUGUGAGCACAGAGUCUUGUGUUCACCUAGAGCCUGUUACCCUUGUAAAUGAUUUUCAAGAAUUCGAUAGCCUUAUGCAUUGCCCACCAUGUUCUUUGACGUAGGUCUGCUAUGAAACAAAAUUAUGAUUUGUAAUGUGUCCUACGUUCACAAUUGCUGCUGUUUGAAUUUAUAUAGUGUUUGUUUGCUGAUGUCCUGAGCUGAUUGAGAUGUUUAGUGCUUCAGAAGUAGGAAAUUGCUUGGAUGUCGAAAAUACUUUGAUAGUAUUUGCAUCUACACUCUUGCAUGGGCCUAUUUAGGCAUUUAGUGUUUCAUAACUAGGAGCACUUUUAAGAGUAUUUGUAUAGUAUUUGCCUCUUAAACUGUUACAGGUUCUAAGAUAUUUCUUCCUGGUGAAAAGUUAAGGUGGAGAAAUGACUGGUCUCAUUGGCUCCUGCCACCAUCAGUGUCAAAUUCUCAAUCUCUACAAACUCCUGAUUUACUUGUACAAAAUCAGAAUUGCUGGCUUCUGAUUUUUGUCUUCGUGUGAAGCAGAGAGAAUGAAUGAGUAUGAUGUUGUUGUGCUGUGAAGGCUUUUUCGGGCACAUUAUUAUCUUGUUAUGUUCUUUCCAUUUGUUUCAAACAUAGCACCAUUGACUCUUUCCUUAUAUUUAUCAUAGUAUAUUAUAAAGAGGCAUUUGUUGCCCUUCCAAAACUUAAUAAGCAUCCUUAUGCUUGGUUGUGAUACAUUGGUUUCUUUUCUAUAUAAUCAGAGGAA
Long non-coding RNA from Solanum pennellii, 1633 nucleotides. RefSeq lists it as uncharacterized. The transcript has 2 exons. Lineage: Eukaryota; Viridiplantae; Streptophyta; Magnoliopsida; Solanales; Solanaceae. The record is from RefSeq and is a predicted model, not a curated record.